This 249-nucleotide ribosomal RNA is filed under the name uncultured Ralstonia sp. Its description in RNAcentral is "partial 16S ribosomal RNA". It matches the Rfam family "Bacterial small subunit ribosomal RNA", at positions 355 to 596 of the family's 1533-position model. Lineage: Bacteria; Pseudomonadati; Pseudomonadota; Betaproteobacteria; Burkholderiales; Burkholderiaceae. The record is from RNAcentral.
UGGGGAAUUUUGGACAAUGGGCGAAAGCCUGAUCCAGCAAUGCCGCGUGUGUGAAGAAGGCCUUCGGGUUGUAAAGCACUUUUGUCCGGAAAGAAAUGGCUCUGGUUAAUACCUGGGGUCGAUGACGGUACCGGAAGAAUAAGGACCGGCUAACUACGUGCCAGCAGCCGCGGUAAUACGUAGGGUCCAAGCGUUAAUCGGAAUUACUGGGCGUAAAGCGUGCGCAGGCGGUUGUGCAAGACCGAUGUG